Molecule: small RNA, 181 nt
Filed under: Arabidopsis thaliana (thale cress)
Lineage: Eukaryota; Viridiplantae; Streptophyta; Magnoliopsida; Brassicales; Brassicaceae
Description: ATSL176750
Source: RNAcentral
GUAACUCACCGAUCUUGGUGAAAACUUCCGGCAAAAGCAUCCCAGCGACACCGAGCAUAGCCCAUCGUCCGUUGACCAGCUCUGCCUGGACGAACCAUUUCAAGUUCUCUGGAUCCUCUGCUAGACCCAACGGGUCAAACCCAUUGUCACCGGCAAGACUGCAAUAUGUAUAAGAGUGAGU